This 1220-nucleotide ribosomal RNA is filed under the name metagenome. Its description in RNAcentral is "bacterial SSU rRNA". It matches the Rfam family "Bacterial small subunit ribosomal RNA", at positions 290 to 1498 of the family's 1533-position model. The record is from RNAcentral.
GCCUGAGAGGGUGACCGGCCACACUGGGACUGAGACACUGCCCAGACUCCUACGGGAGGCUGCAGUCGAGGAUCAUUCGCAAUGCGCGAAAGCGUGACGAUGCGACGCUGCGUGGAGGAUGACGGCCUUCGGGUUGUAAACUCCUGUCAUGAGGGAAAAACUGGCGGAGGGUGAAUAGCCCUUCGCCCCGAUGGUACCUCAAGAGGAAGCCACGCCUAACUCUGUGCCAGCAGCCGCGGUAAUACAGAGGUGGCGAGCGUUGUUCGGAUUUACUGGGCGUAAAGGGUGCGUAGGUGGCUCGGCGUGUCGGGUGUGAAAUCCUGGGGCUCAACCCCAGAACUGCAUUCGAAACUACCGGGCUGGAGUACAGGAGGGGAGAGCGGAAUUCUUGGUGUAGCGGUGAAAUGCGUUGAUAUCAAGAAGAACACCGGUGGCGAAGGCGGCUCUCUGGAAUGUUACUGACACUGAGGCACGAAAGCUGGGGGAGCAAACAGGAUUAGAUACCCUGGUAGUCCCAGCUGUAAACGGUGUACACUUGGCGUAGGGGGAAUUGACCCCCCCUGUGCCGAAGCUAACGCGAUAAGUGUACCGCCUGGGGAGUACGGCCGCAAGGUUAAAACUCAAAGAAAUUGACGGGGCCCGCACAAGCGGAGGAGCAUGUGGCUUAAUUCGAUGCAACGCGAAGAACCUUACCUGGGCUUGACAUCGGAGAGGCUUGCCUCUAACGCGUGAAAGCGCGUGAACUAGACAGGUGCUGCAUGGCUGUCGUCAGUUCGUGCCGUGAGGUGUUGGGUUAAGUCCCGCAACGAACGCAACCCCUGUGUUUAGUUGCCAACCUCGAGUAAUCGAGGCGCACUCUAAACAGACUGACCGUACAAGCGGUAGGAAGGUGGGGAUGACGUCAAGUCAGUAUGGCCCUUACGCCCAGGGCUGCACACGUGCUGCAAUGGCCGGUACAGAGGGAUGCGAGACCGCGAGGUGGAGCAAAUCUCAUAAAACCGGCCCCAGUUCAGAUUGGAGUCUGCAACUCGACUCCAUGAAGUCGGAUUCGCUAGUAACGGCGCAUCAGCUACGGCGCCGUGAAUACGUUCCCGGGCCUUGUACACACCGUCCGUCACAUCAUGAAAGCCGUCUGCACCCAAAGUCGCUGAGCUAACCUUUUACUAGGAAGCAGGCGCCCAAGGUGUGGGAGGUGAUUGGGAUGAAGUCGUAACAAGGUA